UACAGAGGUCCCAAGCGUUGUUCGGAUUCACUGGGCGUAAAGGGCGCGUAGGCGGCGCAACAAGUCACUUGUGAAAUCUCCGGGCUUAACUCGGAACGGUCAAGUGAUACUGUUGUGCUAGAGUGCGGAAGGGGCAACUGGAAUUCUCGGUGUAGCGGUGAAAUGCGUAGAUAUCGAGAGGAACACCUGCGGCGAAGGCGGGUUGCUGGGCCGACACUGACGCUGAUGCGCGAAAGCCAGGGGAGCGAACGGG
RNAcentral lists this ribosomal RNA (253 nucleotides) under uncultured bacterium. RNAcentral describes it as "partial 16S ribosomal RNA". It matches the Rfam family "Bacterial small subunit ribosomal RNA", at positions 524 to 776 of the family's 1533-position model. The record is from RNAcentral.